UAGAGGAAGAAAAGGUCAGCAUCAUAACCAUAUCACGCAUCAAAGAUCCAAGAAAGGAGUUUUGCCAGUAUAAAGUUGGGGAUUUGGUGAAAGCCAGCUGCCAUGGCUUUUCUGGCGUGCAUCCCGCCAAGAUCUUAGAUGAUGGAGCUGAUGCCUGGUAGUGGGAUCUACAUUUAUCCCAAAGAUAUACAAGCUUUAUAUAAGCCAAAAAAAAACCCAACAAGUGGAACUUUUCAGGAAGGGGAACCUAACUGGUGCAAAUGAAAAGACCAUUUUAAACACUAUUCCUGACGAUGCCGGGAUUCAGAGGCCAUUGUCAAGUUUUCGAUGAGGACCAAGAUUAGUUCCCAAGUCAGCCUCCAGAACAUGAAACAGACCUAGCUUUUAUACAUUCAGUAAUGUGAGAUAUAUAUAUAUAUAUAUAUAUAUAUAUAUAUAUAUAUAUAUAUAUAUGGGAUUCCCUUCAUAAGGGAUUGUCCAAUUUUUAAUGUGAUAAUAUGUACAAAGAGUUAGUGAUGAAUAUUUUAUUUAUAUUUUUGUGCCAAACUUUAUAAAUGAUUGAUUGUUUGAUGUUUUCCGCCACGCUCAACAAUUUUUCAGUUAUCUGGUGGCACCCAGUUUUUAUUGGUGGAAGAGAGAACCCAGAUACAAUGUACCUUGGAAGAGACCACCGACCUUCCGAAAGUAAACUGGGAAACUUUCUCACUUACCGGCGCGAGCGGGAUUCGAACCCGCGCCGACAGAGGUGAGAGGCCAUGUGAUUUGGAGCGCGAUGCUCUAACCACUCGGCCACCUUUAUAAAUGAAAUUAAUAUACCAAUAAUAGUCGCUGUUUAUAAUCGGUAAUGUCUUAUUAUCCCCAUCUUUUUUGUAACUUUUCCAUAACUUUUGUCGGGUAUAACUUUUUUGUAACUUUUCCAUAACUUUUGUCGGGUAUAACUUUUAUGUAACUUUCUCCAUAACUUUUGUUGGGUAUAACUUUUUUGUAACUUUUCCAUAACUUUUGUCGGGUAUAACUUUUUUGUAACUUUUCCAUAACUUUUGUCGGGUAUAACUUUUUUGUAACUUUUCCAUAACUUUUGUCGGGUAUAACUUUUAUGUAACUUUCUCCAUAACUUUUGUUGGGUAUAACUUUUUUGUAACUUUUCCAUAACUUUUGUCAGGUAUAACUUUUUUGUAACUUUUCCACAAUUUUUGUUGGGUAUAACUUUUUUGUAACUUUUCCAUAACUUAAGUAUAACUUUUUGAUAACUUUUGUGAAGUAUAACUUUUUUGAAGUAUAACUUUUUGAUAACUUUUAUGCACUUGUUGUAUUCAUGUUGAAAUAAAAGAUGAUAACUUAUA
This is a long non-coding RNA of Ostrea edulis (European flat oyster), 1343 nucleotides long. RefSeq lists it as uncharacterized. The record is from RefSeq and is a predicted model, not a curated record. NCBI's taxonomy places the organism in Eukaryota, Metazoa, Mollusca, Bivalvia, Ostreida, Ostreidae. The transcript has 3 exons.